RNAcentral lists this ribosomal RNA (752 nucleotides) under Candidatus Azambacteria bacterium. RNAcentral's name for it is "partial 23S ribosomal RNA". It matches the Rfam family "Bacterial large subunit ribosomal RNA", at positions 1 to 634 of the family's 2925-position model. The record is from RNAcentral. Lineage: Bacteria; Candidatus Azamiibacteriota.
GAGUAGGUUACUAAGGGCGUAUGGUGGAUGCCUUGGCACAAAAAGGCGAUGAAGGACGUGGCGUGACUGCGAUAAGCGUCGGGGAGGUGUCUAGCGACCUUUGAUCCGGCGAUGUCCGAAUGGGGCAACCCAUGGCGAGUAAUGUCGUCAUAUCUUCUUCCGUAAGAGAAGAAGAAGCGAACCCGGGGAAGUAAAACAUUCUAGUACCCGGAGGAAAAGAAAAGAAGCAUCACUCUAUUAUUCACGGGUCCGAAUAGUCGGGCUCAUGAAUAAUAUUGUGAUAAUAUUCCCCCAGUAGCGGCGAGCGAAAAGGGAGGAGUCUAAACCGUAUGAAUUUGAUCCCGCUUAGCGGGAAAGAAUUCACGCGGGGUUGAAAGAAGCGGUCGUUUCCGCAGUAAUGCGGGAAAGGAGUAUAAAAACUGAAAAAUUGGUUAGUUAAAUGGUUUUGGAAAAGCCAACCAAAGAGGGUAAUAGUCCCGUAAGCGAAAACCUUUUUCAUACUUCUUGAUUGUUCUCUUAAGUACCGCGGGGAAAGAUUGCCCCGUGGGAAGCCGGGAGUACUACACUCCCAAGACUAAAUACUUUUUGUGACCGAUAGUGAACUAGUACCGUGAGGGAAAGGUGAAAAGUAGCCCGGUGAGGGCGAUGAAAUAGAUCCUGAAACCAUAUGCUUACAAAGAGCGGGAGUCCACGACACGCAAGUGUACGGGGUGACCGUGUGCCUAUUGAAGAAUGAGCCAACGACUUUAUGU